UACCAGCACCCCGAGUGGUCGGGACGAUUAUUGGGCCUAAAGCAUCCGUAGCCGGUUUUACAAGUCCUCCGUUAAAUCCAGCUGCUUAACAGAUGGGCUGCGGAGGAUACUAUAAGACUAGGAGGCAGGAGAGGCAAGCGGUACUCAGUGGGUAGGGGUAAAAUCCGUUGAUCCAUUGAAGACCACCAGUGGCGAAGGCGGCUUGCCAGAAUGCGCUCAACGGUGAGGGAUGAAAGCUGGGGGAGCAAACCGG
This 253-nucleotide ribosomal RNA is filed under the name uncultured bacterium. RNAcentral's name for it is "partial 16S ribosomal RNA". It matches the Rfam family "Archaeal small subunit ribosomal RNA", at positions 474 to 727 of the family's 1478-position model. The record is from RNAcentral.